Molecule: long non-coding RNA, 1432 nt
Organism: Mytilus trossulus (common blue mussel)
Lineage: Eukaryota; Metazoa; Mollusca; Bivalvia; Mytilida; Mytilidae
Exons: 2
Source: RefSeq, a predicted model, not a curated record
ACCACUCCCUACAUGAGUAAUUUUAAGCUAUAUAAAUAUAAUUUAAUAAAGUAUCUAUUUUUUUUAAACAGAAAAUGAACAAGACCAUCCUGUUACUCGUAGUCCUUUUGGUUUGUGUUUACCAUGCCUCUGCACAGCUUCUUUCACCAACAGGAGGAGCGUUUCUAGCAGGACUUUCUCUGCCAUUUAUAAUUAAUGGAGGGCAGUUCCCUUCCUUCGGCACAUUCCCAGCUGGAAUUCCACCACCACCCUUCUACUACCCUGGACAAUUUUUCUAAAAAGAAUAAAAGAUUGACAGUUACUGAUGAAGAUAUCCAUGGUAAAAAGACUACAGAAAACCAUAACAUUCAUCAUGUUCAUAUGGCCUGAAAACUCUUCAUAUAUUAAUUUAUUUAUUAUAUCACCAUAACAACAAGAUGUUUUUCAAUUACAUCGCUUCAUUUUAUAUUUUUGUUAAGAUUUUUUUUAAAACAUUUAUAUGUGUAUUUAAUAUAUAAUAUUCCAAAUGAUAUAUAAUGGUAAACAUUCAAUAAAGAUUUUUCAUAGUGUCGAGAACUCAAAUGCUAUUUUAACCAUUUUGAAAGAAUGUUAGGAAAAUAUGCAUGAUCUUUUUAAAAAGAGAUGCAAUUGAACAGGUCUAUUUUGGAACUUAUUUAGACCAAUAAUUUGAACAAAAUUCAAAAGAGCAUGCAACUUUAUCUGGUAAAAAUAUGUCAUAUAAAAAUAUAAAGGAACAUAAAUAUCAGGAUAAUUUAUCUAAAAAAUUCCUGAUACUUUUAAUAGAUGAACAUUUCUGUAUUAAUUUUCAAAAUAAAAAGUAAAAAUUUGACUCACAAUAGUCAUUUAAGGACAAUAAUUCCUACAAAAUGUUAAUAAAAUGGUUUGCAUUAAUUUUAGUUAGAACUCAUAAGGUAUUCAUUGGUGCUGUUUACAGUUUUUGUAUAUUUAUUAUAAUUUUCUAGAUACUGGAAAAAAUGCAAAAAAAAAUCAUCAUUUAAAUUCAUUUAUAAAGUGGACAAUUCAUUUAAAGUCCUACAUUGGAUAUUUCAAGGGGGAAAAAAAGUCAUGUUACUUAUAAAGUAGUUAAUCCUACAAUUUUUUAUUUUAUCAAAGUUGUGAAAUUAACAUUUGUUUUUUUUACUAAAAUACAAAACUAUGACAUGAAUUCCCUUAAUAUAUCGGAAAAUGAAAAAAAAACAAAAAAACUAUAUAUUUUUGUAACCAUCUCUGGUAAAUUUGUUCUAAUAUAAAACAAAUACUGUUGGUCCUUUGCACUGAAGACACAGGGGUCUCUAGAUAUUUCCACUUUAUUUGUUACUUGAUGAUUUAUUUAAUUAUUAUAAAAAGAAAAUGUAUUCAUUAAUGUAUUUUUUGGCUGUUAUAUUUGUCACUAGCUAAUUUAUUUAAAUGACAAUAAAAAUUUACAUUUGAA